GAGGCGAUCAGUUAACUGAGGACUUACAGUACAUGUAUACAGCCAUUCUGGUCAAUAUACUCUGUCCCAGGUGACAGAGUACUUGACAGGCCUUACAUAAACAUGCCAAGCACCCAAUUAUCAGU
This is a long non-coding RNA of Nanorana parkeri, 125 nucleotides long. RefSeq lists it as uncharacterized. Lineage: Eukaryota; Metazoa; Chordata; Amphibia; Anura; Dicroglossidae. The record is from RefSeq and is a predicted model, not a curated record. The transcript has 3 exons.